GCCGGUCCAGCUCAGCGAGCAGAGCAUUCCCCUGAUAAGGGAAAGACCCGCAGUUCGAGUCCACGGGCCGGUACCC
RNAcentral lists this transfer RNA (76 nucleotides) under Betaproteobacteria bacterium RIFCSPLOWO2_02_FULL_63_19. Its description in RNAcentral is "tRNA-Ile". It matches the Rfam family "tRNA". Rfam says of the family: Transfer RNA (tRNA) molecules are approximately 80 nucleotides in length. Their secondary structure includes four short double-helical elements and three loops (D, anti-codon, and T loops). Lineage: Bacteria; Pseudomonadati; Pseudomonadota; Betaproteobacteria. The record is from RNAcentral.